CAACCAUCAGCAAGUGUUUUAGGACAAGCCCUAUCAGAUUCAUGAGAAGAUAAAUUCUCUAGCACAAAGCAUACAAUUUGAUUCCAAGCUUCAGAUAGGUGUAUUGGAAAACAGAUUGUAGUCUUUAUGUGUUGGUAGAAUUCAGUCUCAUUUUCACCACCUAUAGUAGACAUUAUAAACAUCUGCCUUCAAUUCACCAUCACAAAUUCUCCUACGCCAAUGUCUCAAUCAGGAUUAUACAAUAAAAAUAUGAAUCAACCAGAGUUUGAAGUGAACUUCAAAUUUUAGGCUAAAACAUAGGGGAUUUGAAGAUUUUUUUUCUACUUCAUCUGCUGAUGUCUAAAAUGCGAAAUCUACAUAAAAAUUAACUUUUAAUACAUCACGAUUUUCACUUUAGCCAAUACAUUGUAUGAGACCGGAAAUAAAGUAAGGGGGGAAGGCUAUAAUCUAGACUAGUCAUGCACAAC
Molecule: non-coding RNA, 467 nt
Organism: Pelobates cultripes (western spadefoot toad)
Lineage: Eukaryota; Metazoa; Chordata; Amphibia; Anura; Pelobatidae
Source: the annotation of a GenBank genome assembly